This 607-nucleotide long non-coding RNA is filed under the name Homo sapiens (human). RNAcentral describes it as "HSALNT0331677". Lineage: Eukaryota; Metazoa; Chordata; Mammalia; Primates; Hominidae. The record is from RNAcentral.
CACACUGAUCCGGAUGCAAGCCGGAAAAUCUAAGGGUUGGCAAAUGAUUCGUCAUUUGCAUAGAACAGCCUAGGACUCUUCAGAAUGAACUUAUGGAAGAGAGCUGUGGCAUAGGAGCAGGAGAAGAAACGAGGUUUCACCAUGUUGCCCAGGCUGGUCUUGAAUUCCUGGGCCCAAGCGAUCCACCCACCUCGGCUUCCCAAAGUGCUGAGGUUACAGGCCUGAGCCACCAUGCCCGGCCAAGGCUUACUGUUCAUCUCAGCAAAGUACAGGCUGAUAAUUCCAAAGGCUGUUUAAGGGGUAAUUGUGGCUGACAGAGCAGCAUUCACGGAACAUCACUACUGUGCUUGGCUGGAACAGUGUCACUGUGUCUGAAAGUCUUGAUAAUGUUCAGUUGACUGUACUAAUUGUCCUGUUUUAUGCAUGGCUAGCCAAGUGGUAACCAAGAGUUUUAAACAAUGGAUCUUUAUUAAGGUAUUAAUUUUUGUCAAGGAAACUGACGUGAUUUGAAAGAAUGUUUACUGUGUGUGACACGUGUGGAAGAAAUUGUUUGUGUUUUCCCCUCUUCCAUGUUUAGGAAAUAAAAUAACCAAAAAGUGUGUGCGUG